Molecule: non-coding RNA, 119 nt
Organism: Daphnia pulex (common water flea)
Lineage: Eukaryota; Metazoa; Arthropoda; Branchiopoda; Diplostraca; Daphniidae
Source: Rfam
GUCAGGAUGGCUGAGCGGUCUAAGGCGCCAGACUCAAGGACAUAAUCCUUGCUUCAAUAAAAUAAGUUGCAGUAUUCUGGUCUUCAAUGAAGGCGUGGGUUCAAAUCCCACUCCUGACA